Molecule: long non-coding RNA, 2402 nt
Organism: Mus musculus (house mouse)
Lineage: Eukaryota; Metazoa; Chordata; Mammalia; Rodentia; Muridae
Product: predicted gene 14066
Exons: 6
Source: RefSeq, a predicted model, not a curated record
UCCUGGCCGGUUGCGAAUGCGCGUAAGAGGAAAGAUUGGAAGUGGAAGAGAACCACUCUCUGCCAACUUUGGAAGCUCCUGUUUCCAUUCUGAAUUGCUACCCCAUUUUCUGCCUUGAAGCUUGACUACCCUUCCAGUGGAAGUGAGGAGGCUCUGUCCUGAUGAAGACACAUCAGGCUCUUGAUGAAUCCAUUCCAGGCUGUCAACAGGUCAGAACUGUGUUCUGUCACAGAGUGGUUCCAGGUUUCUGAGAGCUAGUGCCGGUAACAGAAGCAGCACCAUUGCUUUGCCGUAUCGGAAGCUGGCUGUGUGCUGACAGCACUGUGUGGUUCCGGAUGAGCUCUGCCUGGUUCCCUGCCUGGUGACUCAGUGAGCUGGUUUCUCUGUAACGGGAGCAUAUGCCCCAUGCAUGCUGUGUUAGCAGAUUAUUAAUAACCACACAGAAGUACUGAAGCAGGCACGAGCAUCUCAUCUCUCUGUAAGCGUAUCACUUUCAAAUCCAGAUCCUCUCCUAAUCUGUUCAUGGACUCUUCUUGACACAAUCACUUUUCAUAUAGAAAUGAUGCAUGUCUCUAAUGUUCUAGUACAUUGUCUCUGAACCUCGCUUUCUUUGUCUUCAUCAAGUGUUCGUCAAGCAGCGUGGCAUUACUUGAUCUCAGGAGUAUUUUUCCUCAAUAAUGUUAAAUGUGGAGAAUCCUAUCCAGUCUGUCUCUACAACAGAGGAUUUCAACCUGUGUGGCGAGAAGCCACAGAGGUCAAAUGACCAUUUCACAAGGGUAGCUUAUAAGCUAUCCUGCACAUCUGUUGUUUACAUUAUGAUUCAUAACAGUAGUGAAGUUACAGUUAUGAAGUAGCAAUGAAAUAAUUUUAUGGGUGGGAGUCACCACAAGAUGAGGAAUACAAGGUCAACGCAUUAGGAACGGUGAGAACCACUGCUCUGCAAUCUUGAAGAUGACGAAGGAAGUUUGUUAUUUUCUAUUUCAAGAGGCAAAUGCUACUUUAAUUUUUUUUUAUUACUUUAUAGCCUCAGGAUGAGUACAUGAUGACAAAGGUAACAGAGCUAACACCAGCAGCCAGAAAGAAUAAAUAAGUCAAUCUAAUCAACAAAUAUCUAGAAAAUUGCUAGAUUCCUGCUGAAGUUAUGUUUUAUUAGCAUUGAGAAGGAAUGAUAGCUUGAACGUAGUCUUUAGACUAGAAAGUGACAUUUACAAUACUUGCCAUAUGAGGUCCUCUUUUGAAGCCAUUGUAAAAGCUGAAUAAGCAGCCAUGUGUGAGGAACAAAGAUGGCGUUGUGUCAAGACAGACUUGUUCUCGUGUCUCAGCAGGCUUCUGGAAGCUUCUCCUGCUGGCUGAGAGAGACACUUCUCAGAUGCAUGAAAACUUUGCAAGAAGGAAAGCCACGUACUUCACAUUCUCCAUGGGGCUACAAGGGAAAAGAUUUAGGUUCAAUUUACUGGAGGAAAUUCCAUUCAGACAUGAAGCACAUAUUCAACUCCGGGAGCAAGAAGCAGUACCUGUUCAGCACCUAGAUGGCUCCACCCUACAAGUCCCCUUCUAUUUACUAUGUUGCUAUGAACUCAUGCCAACAACACGUCUUGACCUCAAAUUUCACAGAAUAUAUUUUUUUCUUUCCAAACUUUAUAUACAUAGGAGUAUAUAACCAUGUACUGCAUCUGUUUUUUUCUUUUCCAAAAUUUGUAUGAAACUCAUUUGUUACAUAUGCUAGCAGUUAAUUCCCUCUUAUUGCAUCUCAUUUCAAGUCUGUGAAGGUACCGCAAUUAUGUGUAAUCUAUUCUGUCACCGAUGGGCAUUUGCAUGAUUUCCAGUUUAUAGAAAUUAUCAAGAACUUUCCAAUAAAAAACUUUUAUGCAUAGAUUUGUUAUACACAGCUCAUCAAAACGUUCCCUGGUCUGUCUGUAUAUCCUUAAUCAUAGGAUAGUCUUUGAGCAUAUCUCAUGUCAUUUUAUGAGAUUAUUGAUCUUUCUCAGAGUGUCUAUAGUUAUUCACUCUAGACAAGACUCAUGUUGUAAAUACAUUUUGCAAAUUUACCUUUCCUUUUCUUAAGAUUGACAGUUUUCUUCUAUAAAUGGAAAUUUUCUAAUGCUCCCCUCUUAUUUGCAAGUUAUGUGAUCUUGAGGUAUUAUUUCAUUCUCACUAAAUUGAAACGUUACCAACAGUAAAAUGAGGUAUUUGUUCUUUCCAUUUUUUUUUCUUGAGUUUGUAUUACAUAGAUUCUCUGACAAAGACUGAGUAAAUUUCUAAACCAAAGUUUUUGAGUUUCUUAUCAGCUUUCUCAGAGUGGAAGUAUAGGAAGCAACGGAGCACUGGGAUCUCUGAGCAUGACUGACAGAAAUAAGCCACCUAUACCUUAUUAUCUCUCAACUUUGUGUGGCUCGGAUAAA